ACGCUGGCGGCGUGCCUAAUACAUGCAAGUAGAACGCUGAAGCUUGGUGCUUGCACCGAGCGGAUGAGUUGCGAACGGGUGAGUAACGCGUAGGUAACCUGCCUCUUAGCGGGGGAUAACUAUUGGAAACGAUAGCUAAUACCGCAUAAAAGUCGAUAUCGCAUGAUAUUGAUUUGAAAGGUGCAAUUGCAUCACUAAGAGAUGGACCUGCGUUGUAUUAGCUAGUUGGUGAGGUAACGGCUCACCAAGGCGACGAUACAUAGCCGACCUGAGAGGGUGAUCGGCCACACUGGGACUGAGACACGGCCCAGACUCCUACGGGAGGCAGCAGUAGGGAAUCUUCGGCAAUGGGGGCAACCCUGACCGAGCAACGCCGCGUGAGUGAAGAAGGUUUUCGGAUCGUAAAGCUCUGUUGUAAGAGAAGAACGAGUGUGAGAGUGGAAAGUUCACACUGUGACGGUAACUUACCAGAAAGGGACGGCUAACUACGUGCCAGCAGCCGCGGUAAUACGUAGGUCCCGAGCGUUAUCCGGAUUUAUUGGGCGUAAAGCGAGCGCAGGCGGUUAGAUAAGUCUGAAGUUAAAGGCUGUGGCUUAACCAUAGUACGCUUUGGAAACUGUUUAACUUGAGUGCAGAAGGGGAGAGUGGAAUUCCAUGUGUAGCGGUGAAAUGCGUAGAUAUAUGGAGGAACACCGGUGGCGAAAGCGGCUCUCUGGUCUGUAACUGACGCUGAGGCUCGAAAGCGUGGGGAGCAAACAGGAUUAGAUACCCUGGUAGUCCACGCCGUAAACGAUGAGUGCUAGGUGUUGGGUCCUUUCCGGGACUCAGUGCCGCAGCUAACGCAUUAAGCACUCCGCCUGGGGAGUACGACCGCAAGGUUGAAACUCAAAGGAAUUGACGGGGGCCCGCA
RNAcentral lists this ribosomal RNA (910 nucleotides) under uncultured bacterium. RNAcentral's name for it is "bacterial SSU rRNA". It matches the Rfam family "Bacterial small subunit ribosomal RNA", at positions 33 to 925 of the family's 1533-position model. The record is from RNAcentral.